This 214-nucleotide long non-coding RNA is filed under the name Brassica napus (rape). Its description in RNAcentral is "long non-coding RNA (BNAP_LNC019275)". The record is from RNAcentral. Lineage: Eukaryota; Viridiplantae; Streptophyta; Magnoliopsida; Brassicales; Brassicaceae.
ACAAUAGAGUGCCCAAUCUAGCAAGAAUGAAGAUCAAGCAUUGUCGUUCCCGAUACUCUCAACAUUAUGCACAUGUAAGACUUUCCGAAGAAGGCCUCACUCAUCAAACAAUGAAAGUUUAAAAGGAGGGACAGGUUUUGGGAGUGGUCUACCACUAGAGUUUGUCAAAAUAAGAUUGGCAUAAAGGAUGUGAUAACUCAGGUGUGUAUAGCCA